GACGAACGCCGGCGGCGUGCUUAACACAUGCAAGUCGAACGGAAAGGCCCUGCUUUUGUGGGGUGCUCGAGUGGCGAACGGGUGAGUAACACGUGAGUAACCUGCCCUUGACUUUGGGAUAACUUCAGGAAACUGGGGCUAAUACCGGAUAGGAGCUCCUGCUGCAUGGUGGGGGUUGGAAAGUUUCGGCGGUUGGGGAUGGACUCGCGGCUUAUCAGCUUGUUGGUGGGGUAGUGGCUUACCAAGGCUUUGACGGGUAGCCGGCCUGAGAGGGUGACCGGCAACAUUGGGACUGAGAUACGGCCCAGACUCCUACGGGAGGCAGCAGUGGGGAAUAUUGCACAAUGGGCGGAAGCCUGAUGCAGCAACGCCGCGUGCGGGAUGACGGCCUUCGGGUUGUAAACCGCUUUCGCCUGUGACGAAGCGUGAGUGACGGUAAUGGGUAAAGAAGCACCGGCUAACUACGUG
Molecule: ribosomal RNA, 468 nt
Filed under: uncultured bacterium
Lineage: Bacteria
Description: partial 16S ribosomal RNA
Rfam family: Bacterial small subunit ribosomal RNA
Source: RNAcentral